Gorilla gorilla gorilla (western lowland gorilla) is the source of this 1629-nucleotide long non-coding RNA. RefSeq lists it as uncharacterized. The record is from RefSeq and is a predicted model, not a curated record. NCBI's taxonomy places the organism in Eukaryota, Metazoa, Chordata, Mammalia, Primates, Hominidae. The transcript is spliced from 4 exons.
GAAUUAGCCAGCCCUGGGAAAGACAGUCCCUCCAGAGUUAGCAAGACCCCAAGAUGUCAAAGAUAAAAAUGCAAAAAUUAAAACUCCAUGAUUAACACAACUUUGAAGUCCUUCUCACUUGUCUUUAGAUGAGGGGCAACAUCAUUGCAACAAGUCACACUUAGAGAACUCAAGAGAAUAUGUUUAUUCUGAAAAUCCGAGAAUUAUUGCCAACCCAUGGUUGUCUCCAUAUGUCUUGGGAAAAAUAGGAAAAGGAUUUUUUGAGUUGGUGAUUAGAAUCCAAGACACAAAGAUUCAGGCUCUGGUAAAAAGAUUGUAUAGGCUAUUUUGGCUGACAUAAAAGGUAAGAGCAAGAAUGCAGAGGAUUUCUAUCAACAUAAAGAAGAGUCAAAGAGACAUAAAAGGCACACAAUGAAAUCUUAAUAAAUGUAUUGGAUGUUGCAGCAUUAACUGAUGAGCCAGACAAUGUAAAGACCUCAGACUACCAAAUGUUUUGAAAGACGAAUAGUGAAUGUGAAACUGUGAACCAAAAUAGAUUUUUAGAAUCCUUGAAAAAAUAGAGCUAGAGAAAGUCUUUGAGACAACUGAUUGCAAAUAUUUGAGUUUACAACUGAGCAAAUGGAGAAAAGAGAAGUGACUCGUCAGUCCAACAAGUGGCAGAAUCAGAACCAGACCCCAGUCCUUGGGUCUUCUGUCCCUCCUGGCACCAAAGUCACCUAUCAUAAGUAACUUGAGUUUCAGAGGGGAAGGAAAAGACUACAAUGUCCCAGCACUGUUCCAGACACUUUUUAGGGGACUCCAAGACACCUUGUGUAAUGCCUAUUUUAAGUAGCUGGAAGAUUCUAUAGCAUGGGAAAAGCCCAUUGAAGGCAAAAGUAAACAUUACCUAUUGUGGUUCUGGAAAAGAAAAUCAUCUCUCAUUUAUCUCCUGGAGCUGUUUGACGAACUUGUGCCCUGGUUUUACUUUGGGAGCCACCUUUCUCUUUCAAGUGCUGUCUCAGUGGAAUAGUCAACCAAUGUAUCCUACAUUUUGGACCAGCAGAAGGAAGUAAUGAGAACAGAAAACAAAUAAGAAGUAAGUUGGAGGGAGAAGGAGACUUUAGCAUCUUCCUGAAAUCAGGAAGAAAGUUUCAAGAUGAAAUCAGGAAGAAAGUUUCAAGAAUAAAGUAAUCCAUAGGGUCAAAUACUGCAGUAAGUUUAAGUAGGAUGAAGACUGCAAAGAUGGUAUUAGUUUGGUACUUAGGACAUUGGUGACCUCCACAGGUGACCUUCAGGAGAAUUAUCUGGGGAACUUGUUGAUAGAAUUUGUGAAUCUCCACCUUUAGGGAUUCUGAUUUAGAAGGAGUAGGAAGAAGGCCUUAGGAUCUCCAUUUAUAACAACCACUACUGAUUAUUUUGAGGCACGUAGCAUACAGACCACAUUUUAAAGAAACACUAGGUAAGUGUGAUUUUCAUUCAAAGGACAAAAAACAUAAAGUUACCUAAUUCAGGGACCAUUUCAAAGACCAAAUCAAAUCAGUAGCCUGGCUGAUCUGAUCGACUGUGCAGAAACUAGCCAUUACCAUGGCAAAGUGGGGAGGAACAGUCAAUAAAAAGCAAUUGAUUUAUUGUUCAUAUGUAAGAUGAAUG